RNAcentral lists this transfer RNA (74 nucleotides) under Candidatus Atribacteria bacterium. Its description in RNAcentral is "tRNA-Trp". It matches the Rfam family "tRNA". From Rfam's summary of the family: Transfer RNA (tRNA) molecules are approximately 80 nucleotides in length. The record is from RNAcentral. Lineage: Bacteria; Pseudomonadati; Atribacterota; Atribacteria.
GAGCCAAUGGUGUAACGACAGCAUAAGACGCUCCAAACGUUUUGGCGUGGGUUAAACUCCUACUUGGUUUGCCA